UUACGGCCAUAUCGCGUUGAAACACCGGUUCUCACAAGAUCACUCAAGUUAAGCAACUUCGAGUCUGGUCAGUACCUAUUUGGGUGACCGCUUGAGAAUACCAGGUGAUGUAAG
This is a non-coding RNA of Acanthosepion pharaonis, 114 nucleotides long. Lineage: Eukaryota; Metazoa; Mollusca; Cephalopoda; Sepiida; Sepiidae. The record is from the annotation of a GenBank genome assembly.